This 468-nucleotide ribosomal RNA is filed under the name uncultured bacterium. RNAcentral's name for it is "partial 16S ribosomal RNA". It matches the Rfam family "Bacterial small subunit ribosomal RNA", at positions 28 to 507 of the family's 1533-position model. The record is from RNAcentral.
GACGAACGCUGGCGGCGUGCUUAACACAUGCAAGUCGAACGGAAAGGCCCUGCUUUUGUGGGGUGCUCGAGUGGCGAACGGGUGAGUAACACGUGAGUAACCUGCCCUUGACUUUGGGAUAACUUCAGGAAACUGGGGCUAAUACCGGAUAGGAGCUCCUGCUGCAUGGUGGGGGUUGGAAGGUUUCGGCGGUUGGGGAUGGACUCGCGGCUUAUCAGCUUGUUGGUGGGGUAGUGGCUUACCAAGGCUUUGCCGGGUAGCCGGCCUGAGAGGGUGACCGGCCACAUUGGGACUGAGAUACGGCCCAGACUCCUACGGGAGGCAGCAGUGGGGAAUAUUGCACAAUGGGCGGAAGCCUGAUGCAGCAACGCCGCGUGCGGGAUGACGGCCUUCGGGUUGUAAACCGCUUUCGCCUGUGACGAAGCGUGAGUGACGGUAAUGGGUAAAGAAGCACCGGCUAACUACGUG